This 493-nucleotide ribosomal RNA is filed under the name uncultured bacterium. RNAcentral describes it as "partial 16S ribosomal RNA". It matches the Rfam family "Bacterial small subunit ribosomal RNA", at positions 28 to 506 of the family's 1533-position model. The record is from RNAcentral.
GACGAACGCUGGCGGCGUGCUUAACACAUGCAAGUCGAACGGUGAAGCGCCUUCCUUUUUGGUGGGUGUGGAUGAGUGGCGAACGGGUGAGUAACACGUGAGUAACCUGCCCCCUUCUUCUGGAUAACCGCAUGAAAGUGUGGCUAAUACGGGAUAUUCUGGGUCUGUCGCAUGAUGGGUCUGGGAAAGAGAUUGUUUCGGUGGGGGAUGGGCUCGCGGCCUAUCAGCUUGUUGGUGGGGUGAUGGCCUACCAAGGCGGUGACGGGUAGCCGGCCUGAGAGGGUGGACGGUCACACUGGGACUGAGACACGGCCCAGACUCGUACGGGAGGCAGCAGUGGGGAAUAUUGCACAAUGGGCGCAAGCCUGAUGCAGCGACGCCGCGUGAGGGAUGGAGGCCUUCGGGUUGUGAACCUCUUUCGCCAGUGAAGCAGGCCUGCCUCGUUUGUGGGUGGGUUGACGGUAGCUGGAUAAGAAGCGCCGGCUAACUACGU